GAAAUGCGUAGAGAUCUGGAGGANUACCGGUGGCGAAGGCGGCCCCCUGGACAAAGACUGACGCUCAGGUGNGAAAGCGUGGGGAGCAAACAGGAUUAGAUNCCUGGUANNCCACNNCNUAAACGAUGUCGACUUGGAGGUUGUGCCCUNGAGGCGUGGCUUCCGGAGCUAACGCGUUAAGUCGACCGCCUGGGGAGUACGGCCGCAAGGUUAAAACUCAAAUGAAUUGACGGGGGCCCGCACAAGCGGUGGAGCAUGUGGUUUAAUUCGAUGCAACGCGAAGAACCUUACCUACUCUUGACAUCCACGGAACUUGCCAGAGAUGGCUUGGUGCCUUCGGGAACCGUGAGACAGGUGCUGCAUGGCUGUCGUCAGCUCGUGUUGUGAAAUGUUGGGUUAAGUCCCGCAACGAGCGCAACCCUUAUCCUUUGUUGCCAGCACUUCGGGUGGGAACUCAAAGGAGACUGCCGGUGAUAAACCGGAGGAAGGUGGGGAUGACGUCAAGUCAUCAUGGCCCUUACGAGUAGGGCUACACACGUGCUACAAUGGCGUAUACAAAGAGAAGCAAACUCGCGAGAGCCAGCGGACCUCAUAAAGUACGUCGUAGUCCGGAUUGGAGUCUGCAACUCGACUCCAUGAAGUCGGAAUCGCUAGUAAUCGUAGAUCAGAAUGCUACGGUGAAUACGUUCCCGGGCCUUGUACACACCGCCCGUCACACCAUGGGAGUGGGUUGCAAAAGAAGUAGGUAGCUUAACCUUCGGGAGGGCGCUUACCACUUUGUGAUUCAUGACUGGGGUG
Molecule: ribosomal RNA, 798 nt
Filed under: uncultured prokaryote
Description: bacterial SSU rRNA
Rfam family: Bacterial small subunit ribosomal RNA
Source: RNAcentral